RNAcentral lists this ribosomal RNA (460 nucleotides) under uncultured bacterium. RNAcentral's name for it is "partial 16S ribosomal RNA". It matches the Rfam family "Bacterial small subunit ribosomal RNA", at positions 338 to 795 of the family's 1533-position model. The record is from RNAcentral.
CCUACGGGAGGCAGCAGUGAGGAAUAUUGGUCAAUGGACGAAACUCUGAACCAGCCAUGUCGCGUGAAGGAUGACUGCCCUAUGUGUUGUAAACUUCUUUUAUAUGGGAAUAAAAUGUUCCACGUGUAGAAUUUUGUCUGUACCAUAUGGAUAAGGCACGCCUAACUCCGUGCCAGCAGCCGCGGUAAUACGGAGGAUCCGAGCGUUAUCCGGAUUUAUUGGGUUUAAAGGGUGCGUAGGUGGAUUGUUAAGUCAGUUGUGAAAGCUUGCGGCCCAACCGUAAAAUGGCAGUUGAAACUGGCAGUCUGGAGUACAGUAGAGGUGGGCGGAAUGCGUGGUGUAGCGGUGAAAUGCUUAGAUAUCACGAAGAACACCGAUUGCGAAGGCAGCUUACUGGACUGCAACUGACGCUGAGGCUCGAAAGUGUGGGGAGCAAACAGGAUUAGAUACCCGGGUAGUC